RNAcentral lists this ribosomal RNA (1387 nucleotides) under Chryseobacterium sp. Its description in RNAcentral is "bacterial SSU rRNA". It matches the Rfam family "Bacterial small subunit ribosomal RNA". The record is from RNAcentral. Lineage: Bacteria; Pseudomonadati; Bacteroidota; Flavobacteriia; Flavobacteriales; Weeksellaceae.
AUGCAGCCGAGCGGUAGAGAUUCUUCGGAAUCUUGAGAGCGGCGUACGGGUGCGGAACACGUGUGCAACCUGCCUUUAUCAGGGGGAUAGCCUUUCGAAAGGAAGAUUAAUACCCCAUAAUAUAUUGAAUGGCAUCAUUUAAUAUUGAAAACUCCGGUGGAUAGAGAUGGGCACGCGCAAGAUUAGAUAGUUGGUGAGGUAACGGCUCACCAAGUCUACGAUCUUUAGGGGGCCUGAGAGGGUGAUCCCCCACACUGGUACUGAGACACGGACCAGACUCCUACGGGAGGCAGCAGUGAGGAAUAUUGGACAAUGGGUGCGAGCCUGAUCCAGCCAUCCCGCGUGAAGGACGACGGCCCUAUGGGUUGUAAACUUCUUUUGUAUAGGGAUAAACCUAGAUACGUGUAUCUAGCUGAAGGUACUAUACGAAUAAGCACCGGCUAACUCCGUGCCAGCAGCCGCGGUAAUACGGAGGGUGCAAGCGUUAUCCGGAUUUAUUGGGUUUAAAGGGUCCGUAGGCGGAUUUGUAAGUCAGUGGUGAAAUCUCACAGCUUAACUGUGAAACUGCCAUUGAUACUGCAAGUCUUGAGUGUUGUUGAAGUAGCUGGAAUAAGUAGUGUAGCGGUGAAAUGCAUAGAUAUUACUUAGAACACCAAUUGCGAAGGCAGGUUACUAAGCAACAACUGACGCUGAUGGACGAAAGCGUGGGGAGCGAACAGGAUUAGAUACCCUGGUAGUCCACGCCGUAAACGAUGCUAACUCGUUUUUGGAGCGCAAGCUUCAGAGACUAAGCGAAAGUGAUAAGUUAGCCACCUGGGGAGUACGAACGCAAGUUUGAAACUCAAAGGAAUUGACGGGGGCCCGCACAAGCGGUGGAUUAUGUGGUUUAAUUCGAUGAUACGCGAGGAACCUUACCAAGGCUUAAAUGGGAAAUGACAGGUUUAGAAAUAGACUUUUCUUCGGACAUUUUUCAAGGUGCUGCAUGGUUGUCGUCAGCUCGUGCCGUGAGGUGUUAGGUUAAGUCCUGCAACGAGCGCAACCCCUGUCACUAGUUGCCAUCAUUAAGUUGGGGACUCUAGUGAGACUGCCUACGCAAGUAGAGAGGAAGGUGGGGAUGACGUCAAAUCAUCACGGCCCUUACGCCUUGGGCCACACACGUAAUACAAUGGCCGGUACAGAGGGCAGCUACACUGCGAAGUGAUGCAAAUCUCGAAAGCCGGUCUCAGUUCGGAUUGGAGUCUGCAACUCGACUCUAUGAAGCUGGAAUCGCUAGUAAUCGCGCAUCAGCCAUGGCGCGGUGAAUACGUUCCCGGGCCUUGUACACACCGCCCGUCAAGCCAUGGAAGUCUGGGGUACCUGAAGUCGGUGACCGUAACAGGAGCUGCCU